AAACACGAAGCUCUUCCAGAAACGCCCUCACAGACACCCCGGAAGUCACGUACCCACUCUGUAGGUGCCCCGGGGCACAGGCAAGCGGACGAGCCAGUUAUCCCUCAGAGCUCCUGCUGCCUCGCCCGCUUUCUCUCGGAAACGUGAAGUGUGGCCUCAGCUGAAAGUGAGGUGGGCCUCAUUCAAUCAGUUGAAUUCUUCAAGAGAGAAAAACUGAAGUCCCUUAGAAGGAAAGAGUUCUGCCUUCAGACUGUCUUUGAACUUAAGACUGUAGCGUCGACUCCUGCCGGAAUUUCCAGCCUGCUGGCCAGCUCUGCAGAUUCACACUUGCCAGCCUCCACAAUCAAUCACUGUCUCAGUAUGCUGAGGGGCUGAGCUCCUUAAGGGAAGUGGCCACAUCAUCAAGGGAGAAAGAGGUUCUUAAUGACUGUCCACUACAGCCUCAGUUUUCAGGCAGAGCCCAAUUUGCUGUCUUGGGUAACACUCAUAGAAGCCCUGAGAUGCAGGCAGCUGAGGCGGAGGAACCCUAAGGGCUCAUUGAGAUCAUGGAUUUGCCCUUCUAUGCAUUGAUGGAGCACCUGCUGCCCACAGCGUCUGUAUUUGGUGCUGGGAUGCUGAGCCUCCUUCUUUAUGAAUUUUUAAAAGGACACUGAGAUCUUCAAACAGAGGCUGCCACUCUAAGCAAACAGAUCCCGAGCCCUGGACUCUGAAGCUUGGGCCCAGUUCUCCUUUUCUCCGGGUUUCAGAUCCCACUGUGAAGUGAGGGGGCCCUUCUGAUUCAGGACCCGGGGAAGCCAGGGGCAUGAGCAUCGGUGCCUCUUCUCUAUUUCAAGGACCCUUCUGGGUGUAAAGUUCUCUGAGAUGCCUUACAUGGAUUCCCACCACUGCAAGAUAACCAUCGUAUGUAAAGUGUUAUGACCAGCAGAGCGUAAUUGAAGUGCAUUCCAGAGGGAAAGACAGCGGCUCAGAGUUAUGAGACCCUAAGCAGUCAUGGCCCAGUUCAGCCACUCCCGGACUCCUGACCCAGGGAACCUGUCAGAUGCUUUUUAUGCUCUCUUCAUGCCCCCUCAUGGAAGCUUCGCACACACUCUUGGUUCUGUCGCAUGGUUCCCUUUUGACAUCGGUGGCAUCAGAGGUCCACGGAGGAGCCACAGGACUGCCUGUCGGUCUAGCAUUACCUUGUGCGGCUUACCUUGUCUGUUUUGGCUCCCAAGGCUCCAGAGGGCAGGGCCCAGGGCUCAACCCUCACAUGUCUCAAGAGCUCAGUACACGGCGGAGAUUCCCGGGAAAUGCUGCAGUGAACUGGAUUGUGAGGCAAUGCACAGAACACAGCACUGCGUGGCACCUAGCAGUUAUGACGUUUAUCAUCCCGGGUUUCUACCAGUGCCAGGAGAGUCCUGGGAAAUGAGAGUCCACUGAGAGGUCAUGGGAUGGAAGGAACUCACAGACUUGGGGCACAGAUGGCUUCUCUGUGCCUGUGUCACCCCCGCCUGCAGAUCCCAUGUCCAUCCUGGUGCCCGAGAGUCCCCAUCCUGCAUGCAUGGCUUUGAACCUGCUCUGGGCUAGGAAUGUCAGGCAGUGCGUCUGAGCUUCAGCCUCUCCAUCCAUAAAACAGGAAUAACAUUACUGCCUAUCAGGAUUUCAUGAGGAUUAAAUAAGGCUGAAUGAGAAAGAGGCAUAUAAACUUGAUUUUUACAUGCCUUGGAAUAUAAAUGCUUCUUAAAAAUUUCAGUGAUGCCUUUUACAAUUCUGAAAAGUUAGUAUAAAAAGUUUGCCUGCCCUGCCUUUCUCCUGAGACUGCAUGUGAAAAUCAAAUACAACAACGAAA
Homo sapiens (human) is the source of this 1828-nucleotide long non-coding RNA. Ensembl annotates it as epigenetically induced MYC interacting lncRNA 1. Its record names the gene EPIC1. The record is from Ensembl. Lineage: Eukaryota; Metazoa; Chordata; Mammalia; Primates; Hominidae.